GACAGAGGGUGCAAACGUUGCUCGGAAUCACUGGGCGUAAAGGGCGUGUAGGCGGGACAGUAAGUCGGGCGUGAAAUCCCUGGGCUCAACCCAGGAACUGCACUCGAAACUACUAUUCUUGAGUGUCGGAGAGGAAAGCGGAAUUCCUGGUGUAGAGGUGAAAUUCGUAGAUAUCAGGAGGAACACCAGUGGCGGAAGGCGGCUUUCUGGAC
This 212-nucleotide ribosomal RNA is filed under the name uncultured bacterium. RNAcentral describes it as "partial 16S ribosomal RNA". It matches the Rfam family "Bacterial small subunit ribosomal RNA", at positions 524 to 734 of the family's 1533-position model. The record is from RNAcentral.